Molecule: ribosomal RNA, 253 nt
Filed under: uncultured bacterium
Lineage: Bacteria
Description: partial 16S ribosomal RNA
Rfam family: Bacterial small subunit ribosomal RNA
Source: RNAcentral
UACGGAGGGUGCAAGCGUUAUCCGGAUUCACUGGGUUUAAAGGGUGCGUAGGUGGGUAGGAAAGUCAGUGGUGAAAUCUUCGGGCUUAACCUGGAAACUGCCAUUGAUACUAUUUAUCUUGAAUACUUUGGAGGUAAGCGGAAUAUGUCAUGUAGCGGUGAAAUGCUUAGAUAUGACAUAGAACACCAAUUGCGAAGGCAGCUUACUACACAGUUAUUGACACUGAGGCACGAAAGCGUGGGGAUCAAACAGG